This 745-nucleotide ribosomal RNA is filed under the name uncultured Alphaproteobacteria bacterium. Its description in RNAcentral is "bacterial SSU rRNA". It matches the Rfam family "Bacterial small subunit ribosomal RNA", at positions 55 to 848 of the family's 1533-position model. Lineage: Bacteria; Pseudomonadati; Pseudomonadota; Alphaproteobacteria. The record is from RNAcentral.
AUGCAAGUCGAACGAAGUAGCAAUACUUAGUGGCAGACGGGUGAGUAACAUGUAGGUAUCUGCCCUUUGGCCUGGAAUAACACGAGGAAACUUGUGCUAAUACCGGAUAAGUCUUUACGGAGAAAGCUUUAUGCACCAUUGGAUGAGCCUGCACUUGAUUAGUUUGUUGGUGGGGUAAUGGCCUACCAAGACUGUGAUCAAUAGCUGAUUUGAGAGGAUGAUCAGCCACAUUGGGACUGAGACACGGCCCAAACUCCUACGGGAGGCAGCAGUGGGGAAUCUUGCACAAUGGAGGAAACUCUGAUGCAGCGAUGCCGCGUGAGUGAAGAAGGCCUUUGGGUUGUAAAGCUCUUUCGUCGGGGAAGAAAAUGACUGUACCCGAAUAAGAAGGUCCGGCUAACUUCGUGCCAGCAGCCGCGGUAAUACGAAGGGACCUAGCGUAGUUCGGAAUUACUGGGCUUAAAGAGUUCGUAGGUGGUUGAAAUAGUUGGUGGUGAAAUCCCAGAGCUUAACUCUGGAACUGCCAUCAAAACUUUUCAGCUAGAGUAUGAUAGAGGAAAGCAGAAUUUCUAGUGUAGAGGUGAAAUUCGUAGAUAUUAGAAAGAAUACCAAAUGCGAAGGCAGCUUUCUGGAUCAUUACUGACACUGAGGAACGAAAGCAUGGGUAGCGAAGAGGAUUAGAUACCCUCGUAGUCCAUGCCGUAAACGAUGUGUGUUAGACGUUGGAAAUUUAUUUUCAGUGUCG